RNAcentral lists this unclassified non-coding RNA (508 nucleotides) under Dermacentor andersoni. Its description in RNAcentral is "uncharacterized LOC126518989". Lineage: Eukaryota; Metazoa; Arthropoda; Arachnida; Ixodida; Ixodidae. The record is from RNAcentral.
GGUCUGAGCAUGCACUGCAUCAGGCCUAUCUACUGCUACCUCCGGCUGUCUGCCCUGCUGGCUUCAUCGGACAAAACAAGUCGCAGGAAGCUGUACCACGUGCACUGCACUGGGACCACCUGACCAGCACGGUAACGUCGACGGAGACAUCGUGGCACCCGGAUAAAAGCAGCAGCCUUUUCGACGUUCCCUUCAGUGGACUUGGAAGCACCUAACGAGCACGGAUGCUGAUCAAAUUUUUUCUGAUCGCACAGGCGAUCUUUGGAAACUUCAGUGAUACCUGACGACUGGCGAAGGGCCAAAGUAAUACCUGUGCACAAAUCUGGCUCUAAACUCGACCUGGACAAGUCGGAAUGGCAAUGCACCUUGGAGAACAAGACUCGAAUUGUGAAAGUCUGGUGGUUUCACAGAACUUUGUUUUAUGUCAAGAUGGGCUGACACCAUGUCACCUGAUGCUGUCACUCUCUGGUAAGCAUGUUAAAAAAAUAAAAACAAUCCAGUUUGAACA